AGAUUGAACGCUGGCGGCAUGCCUAACACAUGCAAGUCGAACGGCAGCACAGCAGUAGCAAUACUGUGGGUGGCGAGUGGCGGACGGGUGAGUAAUGCAUCGGGACCUACCUGAACGUGGGGGAUAACCUAGGGAAACCUGGGCUAAUACCGCAUAACACUUACGAGUCAAAGCAGCAAUGCGCUUGGGGAGGGGGUCGCGGCCGAUUAGCUAGUUGGCGGGGUAAUGGCCCAUCAAGGCAAUGAUCGGUAUCCGGCCUGAGAGGGCGCACGGACACACUGGAACUGAAACACGGUCCAGACUCCUACGGGAGGCAGCAGUGGGGAAUUUUGCGCAAUGGGGGAAACCCUGACGCAGCAACGCCGCGUGGAGGAUGAAGUCUCUUGGGACGUAAACUCCUUUCGAUUGGGAAGAUAAUGACGGUACCAAUAGAAGAAGCCCCGGCUAACUUCGCGCCAGCAGCCGC
Molecule: ribosomal RNA, 466 nt
Filed under: uncultured bacterium
Lineage: Bacteria
Description: SSU rRNA
Rfam family: Bacterial small subunit ribosomal RNA
Source: RNAcentral